AUUGAACGCUGGCGGCAGGCCUAACACAUGCAAGUCGGACGGUAGCACAGAGGAGCUUGCUCCUUGGGUGACGAGUGGCGGACGGGUGAGUAAUGUCUGGGGAUCUGCCCGAUAGAGGGGGAUAACCACUGGAAACGGUGGCUAAUACCGCAUAACGUCGCAAGACCAAAGAGGGGGACCUUCGGGCCUCUCACUAUCGGAUGAACCCAGAUGGGAUUAGCUAGUAGGCGGGGUAAUGGCCCACCUAGGCGACGAUCCCUAGCUGGUCUGGGAGGAUGACCAGCCAAACUGGAACUGAGACACGGUCCAGACGCCUACGGGAGGCAGCAGUGGGGAAUAUUGCACAAUGGGCGCAAGCCUGAUGCAGCCAUGCCGCGUGUAUGAAGAAGGCCUUCGGGUUGUAAAGUACUUUCAGCGGGGAGGAAGGCGGUGAGGUUAAUAACCUCACCGAUUGACGUUACCCGCAGAAGAAGCACCGGCUAACUCCGUGCCAGCAGCCGCGGUAA
RNAcentral lists this ribosomal RNA (506 nucleotides) under uncultured bacterium. RNAcentral describes it as "partial 16S ribosomal RNA". It matches the Rfam family "Bacterial small subunit ribosomal RNA", at positions 29 to 523 of the family's 1533-position model. The record is from RNAcentral.